This is a long non-coding RNA of Alosa alosa (allis shad), 186 nucleotides long. RefSeq lists it as uncharacterized. NCBI's taxonomy places the organism in Eukaryota, Metazoa, Chordata, Actinopteri, Clupeiformes, Clupeidae. The transcript is spliced from 2 exons. The record is from RefSeq and is a predicted model, not a curated record.
AAAAAGAUCUUUUCCCAAACCACCUACAUCCCACUGGACUACCGUUCAAGUGAAACUGCCCCUGUCCAUUUCUCCUGGACAUGAUGCUCAGACUGUCCAAACUGGAGGCCCUUUCUGCCAGGCCCUGGACUCCCAACUUGGAUGGACAUGUACAACGAGUUAAAACAAUAAAAAGCUUUUCUGUAA